RNAcentral lists this unclassified non-coding RNA (244 nucleotides) under uncultured fungus. RNAcentral describes it as "sequence contains ITS1, 5.8S rRNA gene". The stretch from base 196 to 244 matches the Rfam family "5.8S ribosomal RNA", at positions 1 to 49 of the family's 154-position model. The record is from RNAcentral. Lineage: Eukaryota; Fungi.
UUUCCGUAGGUGAACCUGCGGAAGGAUCAUUAAUGAGAACUUGCCCUUCGGGGUAGAUCUCCCACCCUUUGUUUACAUUACCUUUGUUGCUUUGACGGGCCCGUCCCUCGGGACCGCCGGCUCCGGCUGGCCCGUGCCCGUCAGAGGAUCUUAAAACUCUAUUUUAAUGUCGUCUGAGUACUAUAUAAUAGUUAAAACUUUCAACAACGGAUCUCUUGGUUCUGGCAUCGAUGAAGAACGCAGC